RNAcentral lists this ribosomal RNA (622 nucleotides) under Paramyrothecium roridum. RNAcentral's name for it is "eukaryotic LSU rRNA". It matches the Rfam family "Eukaryotic large subunit ribosomal RNA", at positions 1 to 648 of the family's 3401-position model. The record is from RNAcentral. Lineage: Eukaryota; Fungi; Ascomycota; Sordariomycetes; Hypocreales; Stachybotryaceae.
GUUGACCUCGGAUCAGGUAGGAAUACCCGCUGAACUUAAGCAUAUCAAUAAGCGGAGGAAAAGAAACCAACAGGGAUUGCCUCAGUAACGGCGAGUGAAGCGGCAACAGCUCAAAUUUGAAAUCUGGCCCCAGGCCCGAGUUGUAAUUUGCAGAGGAUGCUUUUGGCGAGGUGCCUUCCGAGUUCCCUGGAACGGGACGCCAUAGAGGGUGAGAGCCCCGUCUGGUCGGACACCGAGCCUCUGUAAAGCUCCUUCGACGAGUCGAGUAGUUUGGGAAUGCUGCUCUAAAUGGGAGGUAUAUGUCUUCUAAAGCUAAAUACCGGCCAGAGACCGAUAGCGCACAAGUAGAGUGAUCGAAAGAUGAAAAGCACUUUGAAAAGAGAGUUAAAUAGCACGUGAAAUUGUUGAAAGGGAAGCGUUUAUGACCAGACUUGGCCCGGUUGAUCAUCCAGCGUUCUCGCUGGUGCACUCUGCCGGUCCAGGCCAGCAUCAGUUCGUCGCGGGGGAUAAAGGUUUCGGGAAUGUGGCUCCUCCGGGAGUGUUAUAGCCCGUUGCGUAAUACCCUGCGGUGGACUGAGGUCCGCGCUUCUGCAAGGAUGCUGGCGUAAUGGUCAUCAACGAC